UGUUGUCUUCUAUGCUUGCUGUGUUUUUCCGCUGUCAUUCUGGUAAUGUUCUGGUUCUCUGUUGCCUGGUUAUGUUUUCUAGUUUGAGCUUCAUGUUUUGAGUUUCAAACCACCUCUGUUGCCACCCAAUAUGACCCAAUUCCUGCAUGCAUGCCAAAGAGACGAGCUGCCUAAUUGGACUGUUUUGUAGAUGAGCGGUGAUGCAGAUGAACAUCAAGAAACCCUUGACAGGUAAACAGUGACAGUGCAUCUUUGUUACAAUUUUUUGAGCUAGUUCUCAUCAUAAUAGUGGCCAGAUUAAAAAAAAAAAAAAAAAAAGUAUGGAAAAACAAACAAAGAAAAAGACUUGAGAACUGAGAUUUGAGAACUUAAAGCUUACGAGUGGUACAAACAGGACUUUAUGACUUUAGGGUGAAAAUUGAUGCAUUUGCACAGAAGGAAACCCAAACGCAGCAAGAACAUGAUUUGUAAAUAAAUUCAUAUGAAUAAUUCAUGAAUUAAGUUUGUGUGUAUUGCACUCAUGUUGCUGUCGGGUUUGUCACUGUGGCUGCAUAUUAGAAAUACAUUGUUCUGUUCGAGCACUUGGGUGUGAAUAAUAAAAUUUCCGAAUAUUGUUCAACAUUUCGUGUGGAAAAAUAUGACUCUCCAGCUCCAGUAUGGUGUUUUUCUAGUUGUAAACACACCUAUAAAUAACUUCCUUGCCUUUGUAGCAACCUAGAACCACAUAAUACCCUGUGUUAAGAUUCAGCUGUGUCAUAUUUGUGAGUUCUUUGACGUCUACAUCAUCAGUGUGAUUCUUUUUUUUUCUUUUUUUUUUAAAUGAACUGCAAAAAAUGAAAACACAUAUGUACAAAUUUAUAAUUUUUGUCAUAAGAUUCAUUAAAUAGAAUUUCAAAAAUAUUUAAUUUGCUGGCAAUUAUUUCAUUGGUUCAGGCUUUACAGGGUUAAAUACUCAACUACUCUUCAAAAUGUCACAAAUGACAAAAUCAUACUAUUUGACUUAAAUAUAUACAGCUGUAAUCACACAGAACAGUGUUGCUGAGUGAUUUCAGUGCUUAGUUUAAAGCAACAUUUUCCUUGACGAUUUACUUCUUG
Molecule: long non-coding RNA, 1095 nt
Organism: Astatotilapia calliptera (eastern happy)
Lineage: Eukaryota; Metazoa; Chordata; Actinopteri; Cichliformes; Cichlidae
Source: Ensembl